Molecule: ribosomal RNA, 780 nt
Filed under: uncultured bacterium
Lineage: Bacteria
Description: bacterial SSU rRNA
Rfam family: Bacterial small subunit ribosomal RNA
Source: RNAcentral
CAUGCAAGUCGAGCGGGGAAAGGUAGCUUGCUACUGGACCUAGCGGCGGACGGGUGAGUAAUGCUUAGGAAUCUGCCUAUUAGUGGGGGACAACAUUCCGAAAGGAAUGCUAAUACCGCAUACGUCCUACGGGAGAAAGCAGGGGACCUUCGGGCCUUGCGCUAAUAGAUGAGCCUAAGUCGGAUUAGCUAGUUGGUGGGGUAAAGGCCUACCAAGGCGACGAUCUGUAGCGGGUCUGAGAGGAUGAUCCGCCACACUGGGACUGAGACACGGCCCAGACUCCUACGGGAGGCAGCAGUGGGGAAUAUUGGACAAUGGGGGGAACCCUGAUCCAGCCAUGCCGCGUGUGUGAAGAAGGCCUUAUGGUUGUAAAGCACUUUAAGCGAGGAGGAGGCUACUAGUAUUAAUACUACUGGAUAGUGGACGUUACUCGCAGAAUAAGCACCGGCUAACUCUGUGCCAGCAGCCGCGGUAAUACAGAGGGUGCGAGCGUUAAUCGGAUUUACUGGGCGUAAAGCGUGCGUAGGCGGCCAUUUAAGUCAAAUGUGAAAUCCCCGAGCUUAACUUGGGAAUUGCAUUCGAUACUGGAUGGCUAGAGUAUGGGAGAGGAUGGUAGAAUUCCAGGUGUAGCGGUGAAAUGCGUAGAGAUCUGGAGGAAUACCGAUGGCGAAGGCAGCCAUCUGGCCUAAUACUGACGCUGAGGUACGAAAGCAUGGGGAGCAAACAGGAUUAGAUACCCUGGUAGUCCAUGCCGUAAACGAUGUCUACUAGCCGUUGGGG